UACGUAGGGUGCAAGCGUUAAUCGGAAUUACUGGGCGUAAAGCGUGCGCAGGCGGUUUUGUAAGUCUGUCGUGAAAGCCCCGGGCUCAACCUGGGAACAGCGCUUGAGACUGGCACGCUCGAGUUCGGGAGAGGAUGGUGGAAUUCCCAGUGUAGAGGUGAAAUUCGUAGAUAUUGGGAAGAACACCGAUGGCGAAGGCAGCCAUCUGGACCGACACUGACGCUGAGGCGCGAAAGCGUGGGGAGC
This 246-nucleotide ribosomal RNA is filed under the name uncultured bacterium. RNAcentral describes it as "partial 16S ribosomal RNA". It matches the Rfam family "Bacterial small subunit ribosomal RNA", at positions 524 to 769 of the family's 1533-position model. The record is from RNAcentral.